GUUGACCUCGGAUCAGGUAGGGAUACCCGCUGAACUUAAGCAUAUCAAUAAGCGGAGGAAAAGAAACCAACAGGGAUUGCCUCAGUAACGGCGAGUGAAGCGGCAACAGCUCAAAUUUGAAAUCUGGCUCUUUCAGGGUCCGAGUUGUAAUUUGUAGAGGAUGCUUCGGGCGUGGCGCGGGUCUAAGUUCCUUGGAACAGGACGUCGUA
This 209-nucleotide ribosomal RNA is filed under the name Sarea difformis. RNAcentral's name for it is "partial 28S ribosomal RNA". It matches the Rfam family "Eukaryotic large subunit ribosomal RNA", at positions 1 to 207 of the family's 3401-position model. Lineage: Eukaryota; Fungi; Ascomycota; Sareomycetes; Sareales; Zythiaceae. The record is from RNAcentral.